AGAACACCCGUGGCUCUGGAGGCUGAAGUCGAACAGCCAUAGGAGGCGGGGCACUGGACCCCGCCUGUUAUGGCUGAAGCCGUUUUUUCUUGUCACGCAGGGUCUUAACGCUAGAGAAGAGAAAUAGGCUACUGUUUUUGAGCACUUACCACACACUAUCAACUUUAUAGGCUGCUUAUUGGUCGGAAUAUCCUGUAGACGAGGAAACUGAGGCUCUGAGAGGUUCCCACCGCCAACGACAGGGAUUUGAAGCCCGAGGCUGCUCCCCGUUCCCACCCAAACCAGACGGCAGGUGUAAGGGCCGUGGUGGAGGCUGGUGAGGGUGCCACUUGCUUCUCCUUGACCUCGGGGAAGAUGAAGUCGUGAGUCAGGAGGGAGGCAGCUGGCCGGCUCCUGUGAUGUCAGAGCGGAUGGUCGUUGCCUUGGGGUUCGGUCUCACGCUCCGGAAGAACCUGGUUUCACGGUGAGAGAGUCCCCGUCUCUCAAGGGUUCUGUACUCAGGUUAGCUAACCUGAUGGUGACUGUGACUUCAGAAUUGAGCCAGGCUCUGAGCACUUCUUACCACGCCCACCUCUGCCCCCAUCUGGUCCAGCACCCCCGCCUCUCACCUGGGUUGUGGCAGCAGGCUCCUGCUUGGCCUACGGCUUCAGCCUCACCUUCUCAUUAAAAAGGAAAUGAGGUCAAGUCCGGUGACCUCAUGCUGGGCCGCACACAUCUUCUGGCUGCUUUGCAGCCCCUCUUACUAUCUCUGCUGUGGCAGGUGUGUAAUAGUUUGUCUGCUCACAAUGGGGAAACUGAGGCUCAGAGAGUCAAACGUUUUGCUCACGUUCACCUGAAUAGUCACCAUCCGGAUUUCAACAUAUGUCUUCUGAUUCUAAGCUCAGAGAGGUUCUUUCUACGGCACCACUCUGAACUUGAGACAAAGGAAUACUCAUAUGAACCAAUCAGAACAGUGGUUCCCUAACUUGGAAUCCUGGAUGCUUGUUAAGAAUCAACACUUCUCAGCCCCCUCCAGACUUGUUUGUAUACCUUUGUAACAGGAAUCCCAAGACAUGAGCUUUCAGUAGAACACUCCAACUGUGAAGGGUGCAGAUGUCAGCGUCAAGCCCUCUUUGAAGAAGCCCCUUGUUAAGGACUUUAGAUAUAAUCACCUAAUUAUCUUUCUUUUAAGGCUCCUUUGAAUAAGCCAUCAUCUCUGGGCAACGUAUUAGACUCUUGUAACCCGUCUCUUUCUGUGACACCUGGUUUCUAUGAAACCGUGACAGCUGCUUAGGCUGUGGGCACUUCGCACAAGUACCAGAGCUAAGUGAUUGCACUCUUGAUUGCUAAAGUGCUCUAACUCACUUCAAACCUCUGCUGGCUGCAUUUACAGUAGAGACCAGCAAGGGGGAUUAAUUAUAUUAAAUCUAUGCAGCCUAUCAUUUCUUAGUCUAUUUAUUUUAAUAUAGUGUUCCGUGUGUGGUUAAAAAAAAAAUCCUUGUUUUCAGUUUGAAAGCAACGGGACAUGAAAGAAACAACAAGCACUUAAGACUCUGACAAGACCUUUAGCUUCUCCUCUUUCACUAGCAGGCAUCAGCCAGCGAUCAUUAUUAACAUCUACCAUCAGUUCCAUGUUUGGCUAGAAACCACAGAGGAGGGCUCUGUUAAAUGAAAUUCAAAAUUUGUAAAAUCCUCCUGAGUCGUCUGUAGGGAGCUAAGUGUGGAAGCUGAUGGACCAGCUAGAGAGUGAUUACAAUAAACCAGACCAGGGACGACGGUGGCUUGGCCCGGGGUCAGCCACGGUGGAGUCUGGUCCACAAGGGACCUAGAGAUACUCAAAUCAACCCAAGGAAUGAACAAACACCAUACAAGUUCUGCACAUGGUGACGUGUCAGAUGACACUCAGCUGUCACUUAGAAGAACAAUGCCGUCUAUAGAACAAGGUGUGUGCAGAUAGCAAUCUCUUCUGAUUUCCUAGGAAUCCAGAUAUUCUUCAACUGGUCAUAACUUUACAACAUGUAGACUAUUGAUAAUAAGUUUUGGGGGGACAUUUUUCUGUCAAAAAUCCUACAUUUUUCAUGGUGCCACUGUGCAUAAAUCUAGAAUCUUUAGCUCGUUAUUUGUGUCUGUAUGUCCACCAGCAUGAAAAUGAAAGUCUUAAUACCCUGAACUCUCUCACCACAGACAUUAUGAUGAAUUAUGUCUGCAGAAUAUUGUGAUAUCUUACUUGUUUAAUGAUCUACACAAGGUUCUGGUUGGCCCAUCAUAAUUAGUGUGGAUAAAGGUAUCCAGUAGAAAAAAUGAGAGAGGGAUUAAAAUCUUACAUAAAAGCUAACCAUCCACAGUUACAUUUGUAACCAGAGAACAAUAACUAUGUACAUAUAAAAGUCCAGAAGGUAAUCGUCAUUUUUCCUGCCCGUGUACAGAGAGCACGUCUGGAAAUCAUUGUCUUAAAGGCAUGGACUGCUAAUCAACUAUCUCCAGUAGUGUGGAAUCCAGUGCAGUGUUAAAAAGACUAUAAAGGAUGUCUUGGAGACCAAGCUGCUUGGUGUAACACACGAAGGCCUUCUUCUCAUUGGGAGGGACAGAAAUCCACUUCAAACUUCUUGAUAAUACAUCAAAAUGGCUCUUACUUCAUCUAAUUCUGUCACAAACUUAGCCAUCACAGAUUCUUUUUCAAUUAUCUGCAAAAGAUAAAUCCUUAUAUGGUACUGUGUCUGACGUGGGACUAAAUUUCUCUAAGUUAGUUUGAGAAAUCUCUAAGCAAAACCAUUAUGUAGUCAUGAUCAAACCUCAUCAAUCACAAAAAAUCAUUAAGCUGAACUUGAAGACCCUUAGGAUAACCUGAAAUAGAUGGUUCCAGAAAAUAAUAGUGAUAGACAUGGAAUUACAAUAACAAUAUUACUAAUUAAACGACAAUAAUUGUUAUUAUUAUAAAAGACCACCAACAAGAUUUUCAUUUCUCAGUACGUCAUUUCAUGCUCAAUAUUAAAAUUCAGUCUUGUUCUAUUACUAAGAUAAUGUUCCAUUAAUGAGAUAAUAUUCUAUUUUCUCAAUCAAGAUGAAAUGAGGAUUUAUAAGGCAAACUAAAUGAAUUUCAGAUGUUUCUCUUUUUACAUCUCAUCUUGGCUCAUUUAUAUCGUAGACACACACAUUUGCGAAGAACCCUGAGGCUCUUAGCAGCUUUCCUCCUAGGCACAUUGACAUUUCACGGGACCCUGGAGAGAUUACACAGUGAGGAAGACAAUCAUUCUCGUCCGGCCUGGGCACCUGCUGCAGUACGGUCACCUGGUCUGGCUCCAUCGAAGCAGAAGGAAAGGAAGAUUUCACUCUGAGAGGGAAUAUAAGAGUCUGGGUGUCGUACCCACAUGUUUAUGUGAAAUGAGAUUGGUGAGAGGCUCAGAAUCCCAGCUCCGGCCAGUGCAACAAGCAAAGAAAGCAGGGGUCAGCGGGCUGCCAGCUCCCUCCAGGAGGGGACUCCCCUCUUAGCCUCCAGGCAUCGAUGAAGACCAGCUUCUCUUGCUGCUGUGAUGCUGCUCCACCUGCCCAGCUGUAUUGAGGGACUGUUAUUUCCAAGCAGUGAUGUACAAUCGUCAGAGCAAUAAAUAAUAUAUACUGGAUUACAAAAUAACCAGCCAUAAGAUAUAUAACAUUUUACUAAAGUAUAUAAUAAUGUAGUGUUCUAUGAAUUAUCUUUUUUUUUGAAGAUUUUAUUUUUUCCCCUUUUUCUCCCCAAAGCCCCCCGGUACAUAGUUGUAUAUUCUUUGUUGUGGGUCCUUCUAGUUGUGGCAUGUGGGACGCUGCCUCAGUGUGGCCUGAUGAGCAGUGCCAUGUCCGUGCCCAGGAUUCGAACCAACGAAACACUGGGCCGCCUGAAGCGGAGUGCGCGAACUUAACCACUCGGCCACAGGGCCAGCCCCAUGAAUUAUCUUGAAAAUCUGGUAGAAUGAAAAUUUGAGUCAUUAGCGUGGCUGAUGCAUGACCUGAACGCAUGACUCGGGGAGAUGGUGACUGAAGCUCCAGUAUAAAAAUAUGAAUCCUCCUAGUUUAUCGUUUCACCAUCAGAGUCUUCCCUUGGGGGCCCUUUAGGAGUUUUCAGUAAAAUCCAAAUUCCGUGUGGAGGAGCCACACCGUUAACGUUUGUUCAUUAACCUGGGAUGCUCAGAGGCUAGAUCAUGGGGAUGAGUGGACAGCCGAGCGCACCACUCUGAGAAUGGCAAACAAGGACCUGCUUUUCCCCAGCAUCCCAAAUCUCACACCCUUGAUGCCCCUGUGGAGCCCCAUCAAGUGAGAAGGAGACCAAGGAGGAAUUCAUGCCACAGGCCAGGUGAGAACUUGCCCUGAGAUAACAGCGAACAACGUAUUACAAGCACCAAUGUGAAAGCUUCUUUUAUGAUGUCGGGUCUUUUGGGAAGUUGAGUCUCUCAGGAGGGUUUAAAUCAUGACUUUGCAGCAUGAGGACGUUAACGCAGUCUUGAAACAGCACAACAUGUGCUGGCUCCACGUGUGCUGCCCUCCUGUAGGCUGUUACUCACAUCCAGCCCGCUGUCUGGACAAGGCAGCUACUUUUCUGUGUUCUUGACUCCCCUUAUUAAUUCUGUUACCAAGACAAUUAACUUGGAUGUCAAAAGACAAACGGAGGCAAUAAGAUUCUAAAGGACAAAUCUCCAGAAAGUAUUUUCUGCUUUUACUUAUCUUGAGAACUACCUUUCAUCUUAUGAAGCAGAAGAUAAGGAGCAGUGAGUCCACAUUUUUUAGACAUCCUCCAUAAUUUUGCUCCCCAUCCCUGCAAAUCUCAUCCGCCAAUGAAAGAUGGCUAAAAAUAGAAUUAAAUGUUCUACAAGCAUGAGUGUUCAAAUCCAUCCUUUCUCCAGAUAUCCAAUCACCAAAGAAAGAAGAUAAUGAUGCUUUUUCUUCAACUUUUAAACCCCCAUUUACCCACCGAGCAUGGUGUAGACAAUCAUUGCAGGUGUCACUUUCAUAAAGUGGUCGAGCACGUUGGCCAAUAAACACACAAUUCACCCAGAGCAGUGACAGCUCUUGGGUCGUCUCUUCAUACUUAAGGAAAGAGCUUAAAAUUUAAAACAAACAUAGAAGUAAUUGUUGUAAAAUCUGUCCAUAUUUGGGUUCAAUACAUUCAAUUUUUUUCUACCAAGAACUCAUAGAGAUGGCAGUAGAGACAACAAAAGGAGGAAAAACUCCAGAGUGCUUGGUAUUUUCUAAUUAUCCUUCCUUUAUUACAUUUAAUAGAGUGAAAAAGAAGGUAAGAUGUGAGCAAACCUAAAAAUGGUGAAGGCUUACUUUUCACCUUAUUAGAAAUCAGAAAACGUAUAUUUUUAAUGCCUGGUGCUUUGUUUAAAAAUUAAAUUAUCUUAAU
Molecule: long non-coding RNA, 5356 nt
Filed under: Equus caballus (horse)
Lineage: Eukaryota; Metazoa; Chordata; Mammalia; Perissodactyla; Equidae
Description: lncRNA (ENSECAG00000046086.1)
Source: RNAcentral